UCUAAGGAUGAAUGAAAGUAAAAUUUCAUUCUAAAUAAUAUACAUCGGUAAUGUUGACCGUCCUCAUUUCUCUUCUUAAAGUAAUGUUUCCUUCUUGUAGGGCCGGUAGCUCAGUUGGUUAGAGCACACCCUUGAUAAGGGUGGGGUCGAAAGUUCGAGUCUUUCUCGGCCCACCACACUUAACUGGGGGAUUAGCUCAGCUGGGAGAGCGCCUGAUUUGCAUUCAGGAGGUCAGCGGUUCGAUCCCGCUAUCCUCCACCAGGAAACAUUUAGUUAUAAAAACUGUAAAUAAAUUUAAUAAUUAAUAUCAAUAUCUAUAUCCGAACAUUAGUAAUGUUAUUAGCUAAUGUUCAAAAUAAAAAUUUGAUCACAACAUAGAUAAUUUUUCUUUUAAAAAAGAAUUUUUUUCUGUGCAUAAAU
This 420-nucleotide transfer RNA is filed under the name uncultured marine alpha proteobacterium. RNAcentral describes it as "16S-23S intergenic spacer region". The stretch from base 100 to 173 matches the Rfam family "tRNA". Lineage: Bacteria; Pseudomonadati; Pseudomonadota; Alphaproteobacteria. The record is from RNAcentral.